AGCAUAUCAAUAAGCGGAGGAAAAGAAACCAACAGGGAUUACCUCAGUAACGGCGAGUGAAGCGGUAACAGCUCAAAUUUGAAAUCUGGCAGCAAUGUCCGAGUUGUAAUUUGUAGAGGAUGUUUCGAGCAUGGUCUGGCCUAAGUUCCUUGGAACAGGACGUCAUAGAGGGUGAGAAUCCCGUAUGCGGUCAGGUGCCUACGCUCAUGUGAAACUCCUUCGACGAGUCGAGUUGUUUGGGAAUGCAGCUCAAAAUGGGUGGUAAAUUUCAUCUAAAGCUAAAUAUUGGCCAGAGACCGAUAGCGCACAAGUAGAGUGAUCGAAAGAUGAAAAGCACUUUGGAAAGAGAGUUAAACAGUACGUGAAAUUGUUGAAAGGGAAGCGCUUGCAACCAGACUUGCACGCAGUUAAUCAUCCGCUGUUCUCAGUGGUGCACUUGAUUGCGUUCAGGCCAGCAUCGGUUUUGGUGGUGGGAUAAAGGCCUUAGGAAUGUAGCUGCUUUCGGGCAGUGUUAUAGCCUAGGGUGCAAUGCCGCCUACUGGGACCGAGGACCGCGCUUCGGCUAGGAUGCUGGCGUAAUGGUUGUAAGCGACCCGUCUUGAAACACGGACCAAGGAGUCUAACAUCUAUGCGAGUGUUUGGGUGUCAAACCCAUACGCGUAAUGAAAGUGAACGGAGGUCAGAACCCUUAAGGGUGCAUGAUCGACCGGUCCUGAAGUCUUCGGAUGGAUCUGAGUAAGAGCAUAGCUGUUGGGACCCGAAAGAUGGUGAACUAUGCCUGAAUAGGGUGAAGCCAGAGGAAACUCUGGUGGAGGCUCGCAGCGGUUCUGACGUGCAAAUCGAUCGUCAAAUUUGGGUAUAGGGGCGAAAGACUAAUCKAACCAUCUAGUAGCUGGUUCCUGCG
RNAcentral lists this ribosomal RNA (904 nucleotides) under Thelebolus stercoreus. RNAcentral describes it as "LSU rRNA". It matches the Rfam family "Eukaryotic large subunit ribosomal RNA", at positions 37 to 962 of the family's 3401-position model. Lineage: Eukaryota; Fungi; Ascomycota; Leotiomycetes; Thelebolales; Thelebolaceae. The record is from RNAcentral.